RNAcentral lists this non-coding RNA (26 nucleotides) under Rattus norvegicus (Norway rat). The record is from RNAcentral. Lineage: Eukaryota; Metazoa; Chordata; Mammalia; Rodentia; Muridae.
UCUUUCACUUGUGUGCCAUUGGUCUU